RNAcentral lists this ribosomal RNA (516 nucleotides) under uncultured bacterium. RNAcentral's name for it is "bacterial SSU rRNA". It matches the Rfam family "Bacterial small subunit ribosomal RNA", at positions 26 to 518 of the family's 1533-position model. The record is from RNAcentral.
AGGACGAACGCUGGCGGCGUGCCUAACACAUGCAAGUCGAACGGGGAUUUGUUUCGGCAGAAUCCUAGUGGCGAACGGGUGAGUAACGCGUAGGCAACCUGCCCUCCGGCCGGGGACAACACUCCGAAAGGGGUGCUAAUACCGGAUACGAAGUCUGUGCCGCAUGGUACGGAUUUGAAAGAUGGCCUCUAUUUAUAAGCUAUCGCCGGGGGAUGGGCCUGCGUCCGAUUAGCUGGUUGGUGGGGUAACGGCCUACCAAGGCGACGAUCGGUAGCCGGUCUGAGAGGAUGAACGGCCACAUUGGGACUGAGACACGGUCCAGACUCCUACGGGAGGCAGCAGUGGGGAAUCUUCCGCAAUGGGCGAAAGCCUGACGGAGCAACGCCGCGUGAGUGAAGAAAAGGGUUUCGGCUCGUAAAGCUCUGUUGACGGGGACGAACGUGCGAGAUGCGAAUAGUUUCUUGCAAUGACGGUACCCGUCGAGGAAGCCACGGCUAACUACGUGCCAGCCGCAGC